AUUAACUUAGACUUGGGAAGAGAAUUAGGAAAAUCCAAACAAGACUUAACUCAAGUCAACAAAAGAGGUAAAUAAGGAGAGAUAGUGGUUGGUUCAGAGACACCUUGAGAGAGAGCCUUAAGAGUAGAAGGAAGAUAGAGGAAGAAGAGAAGUAGAAGAGCUUAACCAAAUCUUCACUAAUUCAUCCAUCUAAGGUCAGACGCCGCAUCCUAGUCAAGUGCUACACGGGACUAACGGGGAUCCAACUUAAGAGAGAAGUUAAGGGCGUCAACCUACUUUCUAGUUUGUCAAGCCAACCGUAGUGCCUCCCUUCAGGGUUUCUUUUGGGUCUAACUCUAAGGCUUUUGGGUGAAUAUGAACUUACCCUUUUGUAAAGUGAUCAAGUGACUUGUAGCAAAGUGUUUUUGGUCUUACGCUUGUUUGGGUAAUGUGUUUGCUUUUGGUACAUGUAUAUGAUGUGUUAAAGGUAUGGGAUGAUUGUAC
Camellia sinensis is the source of this 483-nucleotide long non-coding RNA. RefSeq lists it as uncharacterized. The record is from RefSeq and is a predicted model, not a curated record. Lineage: Eukaryota; Viridiplantae; Streptophyta; Magnoliopsida; Ericales; Theaceae.